GACAGAGGGGGCAAGCGUUGCUCGGAAUCACUGGGCGUAAAGGGCGCGUAGGCGGGAUGGCAAGUCAGUCGUGAAAUCUCUCAGCUCAACCGAGAAACGUCGGCUGAUACUGCCGUUCUUGAGGGAUGCAGAGGAGACUGGAAUUCCCGGUGUAGCGGUGAAAUGUGUAGAGAUCGGGAGGAACACCGGUGGCGAAGGCGGGUCUCUGGGCAUCUCCUGACGCUGAGGCGCGAAAGCGUGGGGAGCAAACGGG
This 253-nucleotide ribosomal RNA is filed under the name uncultured bacterium. Its description in RNAcentral is "partial 16S ribosomal RNA". It matches the Rfam family "Bacterial small subunit ribosomal RNA", at positions 524 to 776 of the family's 1533-position model. The record is from RNAcentral.